RNAcentral lists this ribosomal RNA (255 nucleotides) under Salmonella enterica subsp. enterica. Its description in RNAcentral is "partial 16S ribosomal RNA". It matches the Rfam family "Bacterial small subunit ribosomal RNA", at positions 997 to 1252 of the family's 1533-position model. Lineage: Bacteria; Pseudomonadati; Pseudomonadota; Gammaproteobacteria; Enterobacterales; Enterobacteriaceae. The record is from RNAcentral.
UUUCCAGAGAUGGAUUUGUGCCUUCGGGAACUGUGAGACAGGUGCUGCAUGGCUGUCGUCAGCUCGUGUUGUGAAAUGUUGGGUUAAGUCCCGCAACGAGCGCAACCCUUAUCCUUUGUUGCCAGCGAUUAGGUCGGGAACUCAAAGGAGACUGCCAGUGAUAAACUGGAGGAAGGUGGGGAUGACGUCAAGUCAUCAUGGCCCUUACGACCAGGGCUACACACGUGCUACAAUGGCGCAUACAAAGAGAAGCGA